GGUUAAGCGAACAAGCGUACACGGUGGAUGCCCUGGCAGUCAGAGGCGAUGAAGGACGUGCUAAUCUGCGAAAAGCGCCGGUAAGGUGAUAUGAACCGUUAUAACCGGCGAUGUCCGAAUGGGGAAACCCGGUGCACUUCGGUGCAUCAUCGUUAGCUGAAUACAUAGGCUAACGAGGCGAACCGGGGGAACUGAAACAUCUAAGUACCCCGAGGAAAAGAAAUCAACCGAGAUUCCCCCAGUAGCGGCGAGCGAACGGGGAACAGCCCAGAGCCUGAAUCAGCUUGUGUGUCAGUGGAACGGUCUGGAAAGGCCGGCGAUACAGGGUGACAGCCCCGUACACGAAGGCACACAGGCUGUGAGCUCGAUGAGUAGGGCGGGACACGUGAUAUCCUGUCUGAAGAUGGGGGGGACCAUCCUCCAAGGCUAAAUACUCCUGACUGACCGAUAGUGAACCAGUACCGUGAGGGAAAGGCGAAAAGAACCCCGGCGAGGGGAGUGAAACAGAACCUGAAACCGUGUACGUACAAGCAGUGGGAGCCUUCGUAAGAGGGUGACUGCGUACCUUUUGUAUAAUGGGUCAGCGACUUAUAUUCUGUAGCAAGGUUAACCGUAUAGGGGAGCCGAAGGGAAACCGAGUCUUAAUUGGGCGUUAAGUUGCAGGGUAUAGACCCGAAACCCGGUGAUCUAGCCAUGGGCAGGUUGAAGGUUGGGUAACACUAACUGGAGGACCGAACCGACUAAUGUUGAAAAAUUAGCGGAUGACCUGUGGCUGGGGGUGAAAGGCCAAUCAAACCGGGAGAUAGCUGGUUCUCCCCGAAAGCUAUUUAGGUAGCGCCUCGUGAACUCAUCUCCGGGGGUAGAGCACUGUUUCGGCUAGGGGGCCAUCCCGGCUUACCAACCCGAUGCAAACUGCGAAUACCGGAGAAUGUUAUCACGGGAGACACACGGCGGGUGCUAACGUCCGUCGUGAAGAGGGAAACAACCCAGACCGCCAGCUAAGGUCCCAAAGUCAUGGUUAAGUGGGAAACGAUGUGGGAAGGCCCAGACAGCCAGGAUGUUGGCUUAGAAGCAGCCAUCAUUUAAAGAAAGCGUAAUAGCUCACUGGUCGAGUCGGCCUGCGCGGAAGAUGUAACGGGGCUAAACCAUGCACCGAAGCUGCGGCAGCGAC
Molecule: ribosomal RNA, 1171 nt
Filed under: Cronobacter sakazakii
Lineage: Bacteria; Pseudomonadati; Pseudomonadota; Gammaproteobacteria; Enterobacterales; Enterobacteriaceae
Description: partial 23S ribosomal RNA
Rfam family: Bacterial large subunit ribosomal RNA
Source: RNAcentral